This 253-nucleotide ribosomal RNA is filed under the name uncultured bacterium. RNAcentral's name for it is "partial 16S ribosomal RNA". It matches the Rfam family "Bacterial small subunit ribosomal RNA", at positions 524 to 776 of the family's 1533-position model. The record is from RNAcentral.
UACGUAGGGGCCUAGCGUUGUCCGGAAUUAUUGGGCGUAAAGGGCGCGUAGGCGGUGCGGUAAGUCUGAUGUGAAAUCUCCGGGCUCAACUCGGAGUCUGCAUCAGAAACUGCCGUGCUUGAGUGUGGGAGAGGUGAGUGGAAUUCCCGGUGUAGCGGUGAAAUUCGUAGAUAUCGGGAGGAACACCGGUGGCGAAGGCGGCGAUCUGGGUCGAUACUGACGCUGAGGUGCGAAAGCGUGGGGAGCAAACAGG